Acanthosepion pharaonis is the source of this 89-nucleotide non-coding RNA. The record is from the annotation of a GenBank genome assembly. NCBI's taxonomy places the organism in Eukaryota, Metazoa, Mollusca, Cephalopoda, Sepiida, Sepiidae.
ACCAGUUCCCAUACGAUCACCAAAGUUAAGCAACUUCGAGCUUGGUCAGUACCUAGAUGAGUUGACCACUUGAGAAUACCAGGUGCUGU